RNAcentral lists this ribosomal RNA (253 nucleotides) under uncultured bacterium. RNAcentral's name for it is "partial 16S ribosomal RNA". It matches the Rfam family "Bacterial small subunit ribosomal RNA", at positions 524 to 776 of the family's 1533-position model. The record is from RNAcentral.
UACGGAGGGUGCAAGCGUUAAUCGGAAUUACUGGGCGUAAAGCGUGCGUAGGUGGCUUGUUAAGCCAGAUGUGAAAGCCCCGGGCUUAACCUGGGAACUGCAUUUGGAACUGGCAAGCUAGAGUUGGGUAGAGGUAAGUGGAAUUUCAGGUGUAGCGGUGAAAUGCGUAGAUAUCUGAAGGAACACCAGUGGCGAAGGCGGCUUACUGGACCUAAACUGACGCUGAGGCACGAAAGCGUGGGUAGCAAACAGG